RNAcentral lists this long non-coding RNA (1510 nucleotides) under Paramuricea clavata. The record is from RNAcentral. Lineage: Eukaryota; Metazoa; Cnidaria; Anthozoa; Malacalcyonacea; Plexauridae.
UUCGUCGCGAGAACUUGUGUCUGCGAAAUACGGUGGUUGCACAUGAGCGAUUAUAUUGAAUUGUCCCACUUUGUCCCCUUUCGCAGUAAGUAGAAAUGUUUCGCAUUUCGCCGAGAAGAAACGCUCGUGGAAUCAGGCCUUUACUGCAUUGAUGUUGCAUUCUCGGAAUUACAUUUUUACAGCAAUUGUGCGAAAUUGUGCUAGUUGAAAUUAUAUGCCUGCUUCAGAUAUAAUAUUUACAUUUAACCAGUGACUUCUAAAUUAAGAGGACGAGAACCAUUUAUAUCCCGAAUCACGGCAACCGAUUACAAUCAUACAAAAAUGUUUCUUUUUAUCUGGAGCUAAAUAUCUGCUAUUCAUACAGUUCAUUACUUUUAAGAACAAUUUAAAGAAAAUAAUUAAUUAAGGCUGUAAAAUGUGUGGAUUCAAAGACGUGGGAUUAGACGUCUGUACAUGGAGUCAUGAGCUAAUAAUAGUUUCUGACAUUUAAAACAACAGGGCUACGUUUAUACUAUACUUUGUUUUUAUAGUUUAGCUAAGUUUCAGAGGCCUCCAUUAAAUAACAGUCAAGAUAUACACGCAAAUAUAAUUUGCUUGUCUAUAUUUAAAAUUUGUAAUUGUUUCGUGAAGAUUCAACCGUAAAACAAUUGUCGGAAGUGCAAGCCCUGAUUAUAAAAACUCAGGGAAAACCCGUGCGGUAUGAAAUGCGUGGCGUAAACAUGUCAAUCAAAUAUCAUUCUAUAAAUAUGACGUUUUAUAUUUGCACAGUACAUCGUGUACGUUUUUGUUGUAGAACUUGUGUUGUUCAAAUCGAAUAUGAAGUAAAAUCAGGAGCAUACUGUCACAGGCUAAUUUUGUAUUUUAAUACCCUCUGGAAAUACAAAGGCUUUGGUACCCCUAUCUAUCACAAAAUGUAACAAAUCCAAAACAAAGUAUGAGGACUAAUAUUUUUCCUAUCAUUUGACAGAUUAAAAGUAUUAUUCAAGAAAUAUGUCCAUUUUAAUCAUAACGUGAUACAAAAAUACUAAAUAACAUGCAAAAUUCAGUGCCAAAGAGGGAUUUAUUUGGCGGUAGUUAAAUUAAAUAUGUAAACAUAAUAUGUUCUCAAACUGGCACAGUUUAAUACAAAUUGGCAAUUAAAGCUCGCAAUGCUAUAUAUUUGGUUUGAUACGAAGAUAAAAUAGUAAGUACUCAUAAUAAUUACAAUAUGUCCAUGACCUAAUUACUCAAAAAUUUAGAUUAUUAAAUCACAUAAUGGAACAACUUGCAAUUUGCUACGCUCACUCGUUAGCAAUAUUCUCUUCAACACUCGAAAUAUAUUACAUAUUUCCGCACAUUCGCACAACCAUGUAUAAAUAUUCUCUAUACAUUCCAGUUUACCUUUAAUUUUUCAAGUGGUAGGCAAGAUAUUAGUCCUUUUGAUUUGUUAUUCUCUUGACCCGACACGGGAGUGAUAGGCACUUGAAAAAAUGACAGUUGCAUACUUGCGUGUAAUUUGCUCGGAACAAUU